GUAACGCGUCAGCGCGCCACGCCGAGACGUGCCACGCCCCCUCCCCGAGGAGCGGCUUCUUAAAGGGGCCGCGAUUGUCAUCAACAGGUUCUGACCCCUCCAGCAGGGCAGCCGUCUAGGAUGGAGGAUUUUCCCCCGUGGCCUUGGCCUCCUUGGGACUGCUCUCCAGGCCAGAAUCGCUGGCCCCAGGCAGCGUGGUGACAGACGUCGUGCUCUUGGUGCUCCUUGUGGAAUCACGCCGGCUACCAAAGAUGGAGACACGUCUCCAGAUGACCCGGAUGUUGAGGCUCUCAGAUGAAUGCACCUCAGAGGUUGGGUCCACGAUCCGCAGUUGCUGCUUGCACCUAGGCCUGAGCUUGCUGUCUGCAAUGGAGGAGCGUAGGCUAUCAGCAUGUUGACCAGACUACACGCCUACCCCAGGCCUCACCCAUCCUUCCUUUUUGUUGGAAUUAUUUAUGCAGGAUAUUGUCAUGACACUGAUUUAACCAUAAAUUCCUUUAUUGAA
Long non-coding RNA from Malaclemys terrapin pileata, 505 nucleotides. RefSeq lists it as uncharacterized. The transcript is spliced from 2 exons. The record is from RefSeq and is a predicted model, not a curated record. NCBI's taxonomy places the organism in Eukaryota, Metazoa, Chordata, Testudines, Emydidae.